GACGAACGCUGGCGGCGUGCUUAACACAUGCAAGUCGAACGGGCCUUGUCCCCUUUUUUUUUGGGGGUGGGGUUAGUGGCGAACGGGUGAGUAACACGUGAGUAACCUGCCCCUCACUUCUGGAUAACCGCUUGAAAGGGUGGCUAAUACGGGGUGUUCUGGCCUGCUCGCAUGGGUGGGUUUGGAAAGAUUCGACCGGUUUUGGUUGUUUUGGUGGGGGAUGGGCUCGCGGCCUAUCAGCUUGUUGGUGGGGUGAUGGCCUGCCAAGGCUUUGACGGGUAGCCGGCCUGAGAGGGUGGGCGGUCACACUGGGACUGAGACACGGCCCAGACUCCUACGGGAGGCAGCAGUGGGGAAUAUUGCACAAUGGGCGCAAGCCUGAUGCAGCGACGCCGCGUGAGGGAUGGAGGCCGUCGGGUUGUGAACCUCUUUCGCCAGUGAAGAAGGUCCUGCUCUUUGUGGUGGGGUUGACGGUAGCGGGGUUAAUGAAGCGCCGGCUAACUACGUG
This 508-nucleotide ribosomal RNA is filed under the name uncultured bacterium. RNAcentral's name for it is "partial 16S ribosomal RNA". It matches the Rfam family "Bacterial small subunit ribosomal RNA", at positions 28 to 507 of the family's 1533-position model. The record is from RNAcentral.